RNAcentral lists this ribosomal RNA (253 nucleotides) under uncultured bacterium. RNAcentral's name for it is "partial 16S ribosomal RNA". It matches the Rfam family "Bacterial small subunit ribosomal RNA", at positions 524 to 776 of the family's 1533-position model. The record is from RNAcentral.
UACGGGGGGGGCAAGCGUUGUUCGGAAUUACUGGGCGUAAAGGGCUCGUAGGCGGCCAACUAAGUCAGACGUGAAAUCCCUCGGCUUAACCGGGGAACUGCGUCUGAUACUGGAUGGCUUGAGGUUGGGAGAGGGAUGCGGAAUUCCAGGUGUAGCGGUGAAAUGCGUAGAUAUCUGGAGGAACACCGGUGGCGAAGGCGGCAUCCUGGACCAAUUCUGACGCUGAGGCGCGACAGCGUGGGGAGCAAACAGG